This 230-nucleotide ribosomal RNA is filed under the name uncultured bacterium. RNAcentral describes it as "partial 16S ribosomal RNA". It matches the Rfam family "Bacterial small subunit ribosomal RNA", at positions 109 to 339 of the family's 1533-position model. The record is from RNAcentral.
AGUAACGCGUGAGUAACCUGCCCUACACACUGGGAUAGCCAUUGGAAACGAUGAUUAAUACCGGAUAACACAUUUUUAACACAUGUUAUAAAUGUCAAAGAUUUAUCGGUGUAGGAUGGACUCGCGUCUGAUUAGCUAGUUGGUAAGGUAACGGCUUACCAAGGCAACGAUCAGUAGCCGACCUGAGAGGGUGAUCGGCCACACUGGAACUGAGACACGGUCCAGACUCC